This 253-nucleotide unclassified non-coding RNA is filed under the name uncultured bacterium. Its description in RNAcentral is "contains 16S-23S intergenic spacer region". It matches the Rfam family "Bacterial small subunit ribosomal RNA", at positions 524 to 776 of the family's 1533-position model. The record is from RNAcentral.
GACGGAGGGAGCUAGCGUUAUUCGGAAUUACUGGGCGUAAAGGGUGCGUAGGCGGCGAAUUAAGUUAGAUGUGAAAGCCCAGGGCUUAACCCUGGAACUGCAUUUAAUACUGGUUCGCUAGAGAUAGGUAGAGGUAAGCGGAAUUCCUGGUGUAGAGGUGAAAUUCGUAGAUAUCAGGAGGAAUACCAGAGGCGAAGGCGGCUUACUGGGCCUAUACUGACGCUGAGGCACGAAAGCGUGGGGAGCAAACAGG